This 174-nucleotide ribosomal RNA is filed under the name Triticum aestivum (bread wheat). RNAcentral describes it as "partial small subunit ribosomal RNA". The record is from RNAcentral. Lineage: Eukaryota; Viridiplantae; Streptophyta; Magnoliopsida; Poales; Poaceae.
AUGGCCUCACUUACCAUGCUUGUAUGCUGGGUCAUCUGGAAUGAGAGAAACACUAGAGUGUUUUGGAAGAAAUCGACGUCGCCAUACUACAUUCUAAAACUCAUCCAGUAGGAGGCCAAGACGCGGCUUACCGUGGGGGCUAAGCAUCUGAGCAUCAUCAUGCCACGAGAGUAG